AUACAGAGGGUGCAAGCGUUAAUCGGAAUUACUGGGCGUAAAGCGUACGUAGGCGGUUGGUUAAGUUAGAUGUGAAAGCCCCGGGCUUAACCUGGGAACUGCAUUUAAAACUGGCGAACUAGAGUUGAGUAGAGGGGAGUGGAAUUUCAGGUGUAGCGGUGAAAUGCGUAGAGAUCUGAAGGAACACCAGUGGCGAAGGCGACUCCCUGGACUCGAACUGACGCUGAGGUACGAAAGCGUGGGUAGCAAACGGGAUUAGAUACCCCAGUAGUCC
This 274-nucleotide ribosomal RNA is filed under the name uncultured bacterium. RNAcentral describes it as "partial 16S ribosomal RNA". It matches the Rfam family "Bacterial small subunit ribosomal RNA", at positions 523 to 796 of the family's 1533-position model. The record is from RNAcentral.